Molecule: ribosomal RNA, 123 nt
Filed under: Sorex araneus (European shrew)
Lineage: Eukaryota; Metazoa; Chordata; Mammalia; Eulipotyphla; Soricidae
Source: RNAcentral
CCAUAUGGUCCCCCAAGCACUACCAGGAGUAAUUCCUGAGCUCAAAACAGGAAUAAAAAGCAGGGUUGGGCCUGGUUAGUACUUGUACGGAAGACUGCCUAGGAAUGCCAGGUGCCAUAGGCU